UAGUUAGCUAGAAUGUUGUUUACUUUGUUUAUAUUUACAAUGGUGUUUACAGGAUCCGUAUUCAGAGAGUGACCUCUACAGCAGCCCUCUCCCAACACAUUCAGCAGCAGGUUUUGGCUCAACCGGAGAGGGAAGGCAUUGAGCUGGACACCCUCAACUCACCGGCUCAAUCAGAAUCCCUCCCCCAAUGGCCAAUUCUGUACUUCUGGCAGCACUACAGAAAUGAAGGCUAUGGCUACCUGGUCAUUCCUUCCACCCCUGGUAAGGGAAGCAUACAAUAAUGUGUCAUACGUGGAGACCACAGGAACAGUGUCAGAACUGAGACGCUUCUUCAUUGGUGGAUCCCCUGAGCUUGAGGACUACAUUUACAUCAGA
Molecule: long non-coding RNA, 375 nt
Organism: Coregonus clupeaformis (lake whitefish)
Lineage: Eukaryota; Metazoa; Chordata; Actinopteri; Salmoniformes; Salmonidae
Exons: 3
Source: RefSeq, a predicted model, not a curated record